Molecule: transfer RNA, 71 nt
Filed under: Aedes aegypti (yellow fever mosquito)
Lineage: Eukaryota; Metazoa; Arthropoda; Insecta; Diptera; Culicidae
Description: partial tRNA-OTHER
Source: RNAcentral
GGUGAGAUGACCGAGAGGUAUUGGAAGCGACGCUCACUCGCUAGACCGGAGAUCAAAUCCCGGUCUAACUU